CCUACGGGAGGCAGCAGUGAGGAAUAUUGGACAAUGGGCGGGAGCCUGAUCCAGCCAUGCCGCGUGCAGGAAGACUGCCCUAUGGGUUGUAAACUGCUUUUGUACAGGAAGAAACACUCCCUCGUGAGGGAGCUUGACGGUACUGUAAGAAUAAGGAUCGGCUAACUCCGUGCCAGCAGCCGCGGUAAUACGGAGGAUCCAAGCGUUAUCCGGAAUCAUUGGGUUUAAAGGGUCCGUAGGUGGAUGAUUAAGUCAGAGGUGAAAUCCUGCAGCUCAACUGUAGAAUUGCCUUUGAUACUGGUUGUCUUGAAUUAUUGUGAAGUAGUUAGAAUAUGUGGUGUAGCGGUGAAAUGCAUAGAUAUCACAUAGAAUACCGAUUGCGAAGGCAGAUUACUAACAAUACAUUGACACUGAUGGACGAAAGCGUGGGGAGCGAACAGGAUUAGAUACCCUGGUAGUCCACGCCGUAAACGAUGGAUACUAGCUGUUCGGAUUUAUCUGAGUGGCUAAGCGAAAGUGAUAAGUAU
Molecule: ribosomal RNA, 527 nt
Filed under: uncultured bacterium
Lineage: Bacteria
Description: bacterial SSU rRNA
Rfam family: Bacterial small subunit ribosomal RNA
Source: RNAcentral